Molecule: ribosomal RNA, 465 nt
Filed under: uncultured bacterium
Lineage: Bacteria
Description: partial 16S ribosomal RNA
Rfam family: Bacterial small subunit ribosomal RNA
Source: RNAcentral
GAUGAACGCUGGCGGCGUGCCUAACACAUGCAAGUCGAGCGAUCUCUUCGGAGAGAGCGGCGGACGGGUGAGUAACGCGUGGGUAACCUGCCCUGUACACACGGAUAACAUACCGAAAGGUAUGCUAAUACGGGAUAAUAUAUAAAAGUCGCAUGGCUUUUAUAUCAAAGCUUUUGCGGUACAGGAUGGACCCGCGUCUGAUUAGCUAGUUGGUAGGUAACGGCUUACCAAGGCGACGAUCAGUAGCCGACCUGAGAGGGUGAUCGGCCACACUGGAACUGAUACACGGUCCAGACUCCUACGGGAGGCAGCAGUGGGGAAUAUUGCACAAUGGGCGAAAGCCUGAUGCAGCAACGCCGCGUGAGCGAUGAAGGCCUUCGGGUCGUAAAGCUCUGUCCUCAAGGAAGAUAAUGACGGUACUUGAGGAGGAAGCCCCGGCUAACUACGUGCCAGCAGCCGCCGUAA